Molecule: ribosomal RNA, 254 nt
Filed under: uncultured bacterium
Lineage: Bacteria
Description: partial 16S ribosomal RNA
Rfam family: Bacterial small subunit ribosomal RNA
Source: RNAcentral
UACGGGGGGAGCAAGCGUUGUUCGGAUUUACUGGGCGUAAAGGGCGCGUAGGCGGCCACCGCAAGUCAAUUGUGAAAUCUCCGGGCUUAACUCGGAAAGGUCAACUGAUACUGCGGGGCUAGAGUGCGGAAGGGGCAACUGGAAUUCUCGGUGUAGCGGUGAAAUGCGUAGAUAUUCGGAAGAACACCAGUGGCGAAGGCGGCUCACUGGACUGGUAUUGACGCUGAGGUGCGAAAGCGUGGGGAGCAAACAGG